GAUUUUCCAGCAUUCUAUCGCGAGCCGUUUCGCGGUGCGUUUUGUCUUGGUUCUCUUGUUGCUGUAAUAUCUUUCGAUUUUCUUGUUGUUUGCAUCGAUGCUCAAUGCUCAUUUUUUCUUAUAUAUGUGAACAGUUUCACUGGCAUUGAAAGUUCGUUGUGAAAAUUUUGUGAAUUUUUCGAGUGUAUAAGUGUGAAAAGUUUCAAUGGAAUUGUUAAUCGUGUGAUUCGAAAUAAAUCAAGUGUUACAGGUUAUUCCAAAUGUAUUUCAGAAAUAAAAAUUUGUGAUAAAACAUCGUUACAGAAAAGUGAUGUGUUUGAAGAAGUUGUCAUAGGUACCAUGAUUCUCAUCUGGAAAAAUGAAUUGAUGGAUAACUUGUACGAUGAUUUGUACCUGUGAAUGUGUCGGUCGCUCAAAUUUUCUCGCUUUUCAAGUGUGGGCCAGCCUACUCGGAGGUCGACCAGGUGCGUCGGACCCUGAAUAUUCGUUGACUGGUGUGCACCUAAGUAUUAAGUGUUUUUCACGAGCCACCAGUUUACAACGGCUCCUUUUAUGUUCUUUUAUUAACUCGGAGAUUUGACGCUACGUGACCGGUUCAGGUUUCGUCGGAUUUGUAUUUCGGAAUACCGAGAGAUGGCGAGACAUGAUCGAUUUUUCGACGGCUAUGGAAUUAACGAGAUCAUCGAUAGUGGCGUAUCGAGGAAAUGGAAUCCAGAGGCGAUGGAAAACGAGUUUCGUGUGCACGACUAUCCAACCAUUUAAAAUAUUCAAGUAUUUGAAAUUCAAACCGUGUCAAAUCUGUUUAUUUCUAUUCGCAUCAAAUCAAGUAGUAUUCGAUUAUUUAUGUAUUAUGUGAAAUUGUCAUUUGAUUUACGACAUUUAAUUUGAGAAAUGUAAUAUAGUUCCAUAUGAUUUUUUUAUGUAAUAGAUCUUGCUAAUUGAGCUUUUAUUAAAAAAGAAUAUAAAUAUGAUAAAAA
This is a long non-coding RNA of Apis florea (little honeybee), 977 nucleotides long. Lineage: Eukaryota; Metazoa; Arthropoda; Insecta; Hymenoptera; Apidae. The record is from RefSeq and is a predicted model, not a curated record.